Molecule: non-coding RNA, 1778 nt
Organism: Pelobates cultripes (western spadefoot toad)
Lineage: Eukaryota; Metazoa; Chordata; Amphibia; Anura; Pelobatidae
Source: the annotation of a GenBank genome assembly
CACACCAGUGUGUAUAUAUAGAUAUGUGUGUGUGUGUAUAUAUAUGCUAUGUAGUGUGUGUUUUAUAACACACACUACAUAGCACAAUUACUUAUGGGGCUGCCAUAGAUUGUUUUCCAGGGCUGCUUCGUGUCCCCAGUCCGGCCCUGCCCACCUGCGAUCCCUGGCCCUGAAUGCCAGCAUUUCAAAAUUCGUGGCCUUUGAAAUGCUGUCAUUCCGUCUGGUGGAGAUGGACAGUUUUAAAAACCUGAUGGCGGUGUCUGUCCCACAGUACGUGAUUCCCAGCCGCCACUACCUUUCCAGGCGAGCCAUCCCUUCCCUGCACAACCAAUUGGUGGACAAAGUCAGGUGUGCACUGCGCAACUCCAUCAGUGGCAAGGUCCAUAUAACCACAGAUACGUGGACCAGUAAGCACGGGCAGGAACGCUAUAUCUCCCUAACUGCACACUGGGCAAAUGUAGUGGCAGCUGGGCCUAAUGCGGAUACGGCAUUUCUCUUUGCCUCCUGUUGCCUCCUCCUCCUACUCUGCUUUCGCCUCCUCUACCACCACCUCAUCCGGGCAGCAUAACACCUUCACCACCAACUUCAGCACAGCCAGGGGGAAACGACAGCAGGCUGUUUUAAAACUGAUAUGUUUGGGGGAAAAACCCCACACCGUGCAGGAGCUGUGGACGGGCAUGGAACAACAGACCGAUGAGUGGUUGUUGCCACUGAGCCUCAAGCCCGGCCUGGUGGUGUGCGAUAAUGGGUGAAAUCUCGUAGCAGCUCUGGGCCUAGCCGGUUUGCUGCACAUCCCUUGCCUGGUGCAUGUGCUGAAUUUGGUGGUGCAGAAAUUCCUGAAAAACUACCCAUAUAUAUCAGAGCUGCUGCAGAAAGUGCUGGCCAUCUGUGCGCGCUUUCGGCGUUCUCACCCUGCUGCUGCUCGCCUGUUUGUGCUGCAGCGUAACUUUGGCCUUCCCGCUCACUGCCUCAUAUGCGACGUGCCCACAAGGUGGAACUCCACCUUGCACAUGCUGAAGAGACUGUGCGAGCAGCAGCAGGUGAUAGUGGAGUUUCAGAUGCAGCACGCACGGGUCAGUCGCUCUGCAGAACAGCACCACUUCACCACCAAUGAGUGGGCCUCCAUGCGAGACCUGUGUGCCAUUUUGAACUGUUUUGAGUACUCCACCAACAUGGCCAGUGCUGAUGACGCCGUUCUCAGCCUUAAUAUCCCGCUUCUAUGUCUCCUUGAAAAAAACGCUGCGGGCGAUGAUGGAAGAGGAUGUGGCAGAGGAGGAAGAGGGGUCAUUUCCACAGUUAUCAGGCCAGUCAUUCACAAGUGGCUUGGCGGGUGGGUUCCUGCACCAGCAUAGGCCAGGUACACAAUUGUCCAGCCAGGACACAGUUCUGGAGGAUGAGGAGAAAGAAGAUGAGGAGGAGGAGGAGGAGGAACCGUGUUCACAGCAAGGUGGCACCCAACGCAGCUUGUGGGCAUCACUGGAGCGUGGCUGGCCCAGGGCCCCAAGCAGAGCCGGUGCUUCCUACAAGGCUGCAGCCACCUGAGCGCUCUAUAGCGAGCCUCAGGUGGCAGCAGUACUCCUCGUCAUCACCUCCCCUUCUCUGGCUGUAGCGUGGCCGAGCUCCUCUUCCUCUUGUCAGCCCGGCCGGGUACCGUGCGGUACAGGAGAUUCAGUUUCCUGUUCCCUGCUGGACUGACAGGAAGUGCACACUGGACUGACAGCCAGGAGGAAGAGAAGCUCGGCCACGCUACAGCCAGAGAAGGGAAGGUGAGAAGAAGA